UGAGCCAGUAAAUAUUACCUGGCCUCACUCUGCAGGAAGGAGCAGCCCAGAAUGCCUGCACCUGCUACUGAAGAUAACAGGCUGCAAUAAUUCACUGUCCAGAUGCAGCAAGGAGCGUGGAAGAGUUUGAGGACAUCCAGGAUGAGCUCCCUCUUCUUUGCCUCCAGAGUCUCCUCCAAGGUUGCCUCUCGAUUCCCCUUCCCUUCUUGAUCCCUCACUUUGCCUCCCCCUCUGCCAACCCCUCCCCAGCAACUGAGUGGCAGAAACAUCUCUCCUACCCUGAAUUAAAGCAAAAAGCCUUUCUGUGAGCCUGA
RNAcentral lists this long non-coding RNA (314 nucleotides) under Homo sapiens (human). RNAcentral describes it as "HSALNT0301521". The record is from RNAcentral. Lineage: Eukaryota; Metazoa; Chordata; Mammalia; Primates; Hominidae.